UCCCUGGUGGCUCAGAGGGUAAAGCGUCUGCCUGCAAUGCGGGAGACCCGGGUUCGAUCCCUGGGUCGGGAA
Molecule: transfer RNA, 72 nt
Filed under: Bos taurus (domestic cattle)
Lineage: Eukaryota; Metazoa; Chordata; Mammalia; Artiodactyla; Bovidae
Also listed under: 2 other names
Rfam family: tRNA
About the family: Transfer RNA (tRNA) molecules are approximately 80 nucleotides in length. Their secondary structure includes four short double-helical elements and three loops (D, anti-codon, and T loops).
Source: Rfam by way of RNAcentral